Molecule: long non-coding RNA, 1091 nt
Organism: Cydia pomonella (codling moth)
Lineage: Eukaryota; Metazoa; Arthropoda; Insecta; Lepidoptera; Tortricidae
Exons: 2
Source: RefSeq, a predicted model, not a curated record
GACGGCAUGGGUUAGUGUCAGAAUACUGAUUUGUUACAAAAUUAAAAUAGAUAUUUAUAAAACUCAGCGUGGAAAUUUAUUUUCGCCAUACGAGUAUAUUAUAUAGUUCCGGAGAUUCAGAUAUGGUUUCUGGAUUUUAAUAGGUCGAGGCAAAUGUUGCUUUCCUUUGCCAAGUUGCUGAGGAAAGAGGAGCGUGCCCUUGAGCGUGGCAGGCUGAUGUAAGAGACGGGUCUUCUCUUCGUCCAGUUCGGGACGCUUUCACGGCCAUUGUUACGAGUUCCAACCCAAAUGCUAAUUUUGACUGCAGCAGACUUUUUCUGUCGUCUGUCUUGUUCGUCAGGCGGAAUGCAGAGGAGUUAAUUCGGAGGAAUAAACAUCGUCUGUGGCAGCAGGUAUGUGUUGGCCCUUUGAAAACCUUUGAAAACCUUUGAAAACCUUAGGAAAUCCUUUGGAAACCCUUAGAAAACCCUUAGGUAGCCCUUAAGAAGCUCAUAGUUUACUUGUAGAACAAGUUUUGUCAUUGUCAUAGAUCGGUAACCUUUUGCUUUUGUCACAUUUAUAAUGAAUAAUUUUAAUAUCAUAAUCAAGGUUUACUAAGGUCUGAUGGACAGUGUUGCUCGCCAAAUUUAAUGCUUAGGUGUAACUUUUCAUAUAAUAUUUACCAGAAUAAAAUUUAAUUAAACAACUAGUUUGUUGGUGAUUUAUCCUAUAGUGUAAGAAUACAGAUAUUAAUGAACCAACAGCUCUACCGUUAGCAGUCUGAGCUAGAAGUUGAAUUUUUAGGGUAUGUAGGAGUUUUGAAAGAAGAAAUAAAACGACUAUCAAGUGAACUCUUGUGUUUUCUUUCCUUUAGUACAUCCCUAGGUAUUAUGUAACCAGCCGGGUACAUUUCAUAGGUUUACAGGUUACAUAAUUGGCGCCCACAAGGAAUCUGUAUUUUAAAAAUCAAUUUAUAAGGAUAAACCAUCAAUUUUAAGUAUUAAAGUGGCAAACAAGACAUUUUUCAAAGUAUCUACUAUAUUCUAUAGUUGUAGACAGGGCCAACACAGUAGUAUUUGAGUAUAUUUAUAAAUAGAACCAAUUGUUGCCAA